This 435-nucleotide ribosomal RNA is filed under the name uncultured archaeon. Its description in RNAcentral is "bacterial SSU rRNA". It matches the Rfam family "Archaeal small subunit ribosomal RNA", at positions 281 to 715 of the family's 1478-position model. The record is from RNAcentral.
AGCAAGAGCCCGGAGAUGGAUUCUGAGACAUGAAUCCAGGCCCUACGGGGCGCAGCAGGUGCGAAAACUUUACAAUGCGGGAAACCGUGAUAAGGGGACACCGAGUGCCAGCGUCAUACGCUGGCUGUCCAGGUGUGUAAAAUACACCUGUUAGCAAGGGCCGGGCAAGACCGGUGCCAGCCGCCGCGGUAACACCGGCGGCCCGAGUGGUGAUCGUGAUUAUUGGGUCUAAAGGGUCCGUAGCCGGUUUGGUCAGUCCUCCGGGAAAUCUGACAGCUCAACUGUUAGGCUUUCGGGGGAUACUGCCAGACUUGGAACCGGGAGAGGUAAGAGGUACUACAGGGGUAGGAGUGAAAUCCUGUAAUCCCUGUGGGACCACCUGUGGCGAAGGCGUCUUACCAGAACGGGUUCGACGGUGAGGGCACGAAAGCUGGG